AGAUUAGAGGGAUUUAUUUGAAAGCGGCCCACGACCUUUAGUUCUUUACAGAUGAAGUGGUUUUGUCUGGCUUCUGCUCCAGCUCCGAGCCCGGACUUUGAGCGUUUUGAUUUAGGGCCAUAUUUAUGAAGCAGCCUUUGGCCCCGCUCACACUGUUGCUCUCACCGUGUCUCUUCAGCAUCCUGACAGGGUCAGCUCCCGCUUGCAGGUUUCAACCUGUGGGUUGUUGCCUAGGCCACGGGACUUCUCGCUGCAUCUCAGUGGCCAUUGCACAUCGGCUCCUGGAGCUCGCGUCCCCUGACGUGAGGUUCUUUUCAGCGGUUGCUAGGAUACAUCGUCAGAAUCUGCUCACCCUUGAGAAUCACAGCCAACUUGAGUUCUUCCUGACUUCUCAGUAUUGAAAAAGCAGGGGCAAUGUGAGCAUCCUGUCCAGCUUGCUGAGCGUCACUGGGACUGUGGCUAGGGACUGGGGGAGGAGGUGGGAGCUGUGUAGCUUAAAUGUCUUCCUGCCUCUUCUGAUCUGGAUAAAAAUGGCUCCAACUGCCUCGCUCCCCUUCAUUGGACUGGAAAGAGCAAUAAAGCAUGUAUUCUGUCAGAUU
This 599-nucleotide long non-coding RNA is filed under the name Rattus norvegicus (Norway rat). RNAcentral describes it as "long non-coding RNA NONRATT025737". Lineage: Eukaryota; Metazoa; Chordata; Mammalia; Rodentia; Muridae. The record is from RNAcentral.